AUAACCUGGAGGAAGUGGGUGAGCAAAUCAUCAUGCCCCUUAUGCUUAGGGCUACACACGUGCUACAAUGGGUAGUACAGAGGGUUGCCAAGCCGUAAGGUGGAGCUAAUCCCUUAAAGCUACUCUCAGUUCGGAUUGUAGGCUGAAACUCGCCUACAUGAAGCUGGAGUUACUAGUAAUCGCAGAUCAGAAUGCUGCGGUGAAUGCGUUCCCGGGUCUUGUACACACCGCCCGUCACACCACGGGAGUUGGAGACGCCCGAAGCCGAUUAUCUAACCUUUUGGAAGAAGUCGUCGAAGGUGGAAUCAAUAACUGGGGUGAAGUCGUAACAAGGUAGCCGUAUCGGAAGGUGCGGCUGGAUCACCUCCUUUCUAAGGAGA
Molecule: ribosomal RNA, 380 nt
Filed under: Clostridioides difficile
Lineage: Bacteria; Bacillati; Bacillota; Clostridia; Peptostreptococcales; Peptostreptococcaceae
Description: bacterial SSU rRNA
Rfam family: Bacterial small subunit ribosomal RNA
Source: RNAcentral